GGCUCCAAUAGCGUAUAUUAAAGUUGUUGCAGUUGAAAAGCUCGUAGUCGGACUUGUGCGGCGAGGGCGGGUUGGUGGACAUUCUGCUGGUCUUUUGAUCGGUGGGUGAUUACUGGCCCGCCGCGCCGCAUCCUUCCGGAGAGCACGCGCCUGCCCUUCAGUGGGACCGGGCGCGGGCAUUCCGGAUCAGUCACUUUGAAAAAAUUAGCGUGUUUAAAGCAGGCAUUAACCUUUUUGCUUUGAAUAGUCCAGCAUGGAAUGACAGAAUAGGACCGCCAUCCGGAGUUUACUGGCCUUCUGGCGAGUUUGCGGAAUACAUUUGGUGGUAAUGAUUGAUAGGGACAGCUUGGGGGUGCUCGUAUUCAGUGGCCAGAGGUGAAAUUCAUGGAUUCAUUGAAGACGAACUACUGCGAAAGCAUUCACCAAGGAUGUCUUCU
RNAcentral lists this ribosomal RNA (437 nucleotides) under uncultured eukaryote. RNAcentral's name for it is "SSU rRNA". It matches the Rfam family "Eukaryotic small subunit ribosomal RNA", at positions 587 to 972 of the family's 1831-position model. The record is from RNAcentral.